RNAcentral lists this ribosomal RNA (497 nucleotides) under uncultured bacterium. RNAcentral's name for it is "partial 16S ribosomal RNA". It matches the Rfam family "Bacterial small subunit ribosomal RNA", at positions 28 to 507 of the family's 1533-position model. The record is from RNAcentral.
GAUGAACGCUGGCGGCGUGCCUAAUACAUGCAAGUCGAGCGAACGGACGAGAAGCUUGCUUCUCUGAUGUUAGCGGCGGACGGGUGAGUAACACGUGGAUAACCUACCUAUAAGGCUGGGAUAACUUCGGGAAACCGGAGCUAAUACCGGAUAAUAUUUUGAACCGCAUGGUUCAAAAGUGAAAGACGGUCUUGCUGUCACUUAUAGAUGGAUCCGCGCUGCAUUAGCUAGUUGGUAAGGUAACGGCUUACCAAGGCAACGAUGCAUAGCCGACCUGAGAGGGUGAUCGGCCACACGGGAACUGAGACACGGUCCAGACUCCUACGGGAGGCAGCAGUAGGGAAUCUUCCGCAAUGGGCUAAAGCCUGACGGAGCAACGCCGCGUGAGUGAUGAAGGUCUUCGGAUCGUAAAACUCUGUUAUUAGGGAAGAACAUAUGUGUAAGUAACUGUGCACAUCUUGACGGUACCUAAUCAGAAAGCCACGGCUAACUACGUG